This is a long non-coding RNA of Melanotaenia boesemani (Boeseman's rainbowfish), 870 nucleotides long. RefSeq lists it as uncharacterized. Lineage: Eukaryota; Metazoa; Chordata; Actinopteri; Atheriniformes; Melanotaeniidae. The transcript has 6 exons. The record is from RefSeq and is a predicted model, not a curated record.
UUUCAUGUCAUGAAUAUGAGACCAUUGGUGAGUUUCUAGAGGUUUUCAGACCAUUCAACUUGAGAACAACAGAACUUUCUUCAGAGAAAACGGUGGCAGCAUCAAAAGUCAUUCCAAUUAUCCAAAUGGUGCAAUCAUCAACUAUACUGGAUCCAUGAUUCAAAAUAACUGAAUAACUGUUUGGGAAUACAACAUCUGCACAAGAUGGUGUUGCCAGGGUAACCACUCAAUGUGCUGCAAGCAUGAAAUUGGAGAGGGUGUCACUGUCAACAUCACCGUCAUUAACAGAACCGGCGUCUAGAUCUGCAGCAGCAGAGGACCAGGACAACUUGUGGGAUCAUCUGGAUAGCCGAGUUGCAACCUAUAUCUAGCAUCCAGCAAAAAUGUUGCAUAUUGAGUUGGAGGAGGAGGAAGAAGACGGCAUUCCUUUCAGAAACCUUUUGAUCUCAAGACUCAACCUACAACCCUGGAGACUGUCACUCAACCUUCAGAAAUGAGUGAGAUGCAGUCCCCGCCUGAUUACGCACUUUGACCCAGGCUCCUGCUCUGGUGUGUGGCGAUGGUGGGCAUGCCUGUUUCCUCGGCAACCAUGGAGCUUCACCUGCAUCUCACUCUACAAUCACGCAGCGAGACCAGCUCAGCCUUCCAGUCAUUGCCAGAUUGUUGAUUACCCAGUGCUAACAGCUCUUGGCCUUCUCAGCAGUUUUGCUCGUCUUUAUCCUUUUUUGCCUGCCUAACAUGCUUUUUGUGUUAGUUCUGAUCGGAGAUCCAGAUCUGCCUUUUUGUCUGUCCACCUGCUUGUCUGUCACACCCUCCACAUUUAGAGAUUCAUUCAUUCAUUCAUCUGUGGAUACCAAUAAAACCUUUACU